Syngnathus acus (greater pipefish) is the source of this 484-nucleotide long non-coding RNA. RefSeq lists it as uncharacterized. NCBI's taxonomy places the organism in Eukaryota, Metazoa, Chordata, Actinopteri, Syngnathiformes, Syngnathidae. The record is from RefSeq and is a predicted model, not a curated record. The transcript is spliced from 2 exons.
UUUUCAGAUGAGUUGUCAAGGAAGCAGGAAACACAGACCUUCCAUAUCAACAAAUCAUUUUUACCAGGAAGAGCAGCGCUUCGAAAGCCAACUAGCUGACACAAACCCGAUGACACGGUCCGCUUCCAUCCUCCUCGGGUAGCAUCCGAGCAUUUGAUGCUUAAAAAACACCCCAGGCUGGGUGAGACUGUCAACAUGUGCAGCAGCAGAAGACAUCUCGUUCACCUAGGUUGAUGACAGCGUGGAGGCGUUUCGGUCUAAAAGGAUCUUUUUCGCCAAUCCAUAAGGACAACAAUGACCGAGAGGUGCAGGUGGCAACUUUGUUUCCUUGCCCUUCUCAGCUGAAGCAGGAAGAUGGAAGGUCUCUCUUGAAAUCCCACGCACAGGCUUUGAAAAGAAGAAAUGUAUUUUAAUCAUCUCCAAUUAAACAGGCACAUUCCAUUGGACCUUGUGCUGCCUGGUGAUAAAAAUCACACCUGCAGCA